AUUGAACGCUGGCGGCAGGCCUAACACAUGCAAGUCGAGCGGAGCGGCGGACGGGUGAGUAAUGCCUAGGAAUCUGCCUGUUAGUGGGGGAUAACGUCCGGAAAGGGGCGCUAAUACCGCAUACUAUCAGAUGAGCCUAGGUCGGAUUAGCUAGUUGGUGGGGUAAAGGCCUACCAAGGCGACGAUCCGUAACUGGUCUGAGAGGAUGAUCAGUCACACGGGAACUGAGAAACGGUCAAGACUCCAACGGGAGGAAGCAGUGGGGAAAAUUGGACAAUGGGCGAAAGCCGGAUCCAGCCAGGCCGCGGGUGUGAAGAAGGUCUUCGGAUGGUAAAGCACUUUAAGUAGGGAGGCGUUACCAACAGAAGAAGCACCGGCUAACUUCGUGCCAGCAGCCGCGGUAAUAC
This 407-nucleotide ribosomal RNA is filed under the name uncultured bacterium. RNAcentral's name for it is "partial 16S ribosomal RNA". It matches the Rfam family "Bacterial small subunit ribosomal RNA", at positions 29 to 526 of the family's 1533-position model. The record is from RNAcentral.